This 286-nucleotide ribosomal RNA is filed under the name uncultured Diversispora. RNAcentral describes it as "partial 28S ribosomal RNA". The record is from RNAcentral. Lineage: Eukaryota; Fungi; Glomeromycota; Glomeromycetes; Diversisporales; Diversisporaceae.
UUCAGGAGUAGAGGCAGGGUCAAACCGUUUCUUUUUUGAACUUGGGAUUUGUUAGAUGUACUUUUUCUUUGGCAGGUCAGCGUCGAUUUCGGAGGUUGUAAAAUACUUGGGGGAAAGUAACUCUGCUUCGGGAGAGUAUUAUAGACCCUGGGGGAUGCAGCCUGCGGGAUCGAAGAUUGCAGCAAAUGCCUUUGGCUUGUCGCCUAUCUCUGGUUGUUACCUCUCUUGUGACAACAUUCUUGCCACCGGAGGGUACUAAUGCCCAUUACUUAGAGCGAUCGAAAAU